This 669-nucleotide ribosomal RNA is filed under the name Pseudomonas sp. EECC-700. RNAcentral's name for it is "bacterial SSU rRNA". It matches the Rfam family "Bacterial small subunit ribosomal RNA", at positions 97 to 762 of the family's 1533-position model. The record is from RNAcentral. Lineage: Bacteria; Pseudomonadati; Pseudomonadota; Gammaproteobacteria; Pseudomonadales; Pseudomonadaceae.
GGCGGACGGGUGAGUAAUGCCUAGGAAUCUGCCUGGUAGUGGGGGACAACGUUUCGAAAGGAACGCUAAUACCGCAUACGUCCUACGGGAGAAAGCAGGGGACCUUCGGGCCUUGCGCUAUCAGAUGAGCCUAGGUCGGAUUAGCUAGUUGGUGAGGUAAUGGCUCACCAAGGCGACGAUCCGUAACUGGUCUGAGAGGAUGAUCAGUCACACUGGAACUGAGACACGGUCCAGACUCCUACGGGAGGCAGCAGUGGGGAAUAUUGGACAAUGGGCGAAAGCCUGAUCCAGCCAUGCCGCGUGUGUGAAGAAGGUCUUCGGAUUGUAAAGCACUUUAAGUUGGGAGGAAGGGCAGUAAAUUAAUACUUUGCUGUUUUGACGUUACCGACAGAAUAAGCACCGGCUAACUCUGUGCCAGCAGCCGCGGUAAUACAGAGGGUGCAAGCGUUAAUCGGAAUUACUGGGCGUAAAGCGCGCGUAGGUGGUUCGUUAAGUUGGAUGUGAAAUCCCCGGGCUCAACCUGGGAACUGCAUCCAAAACUGGCGAGCUAGAGUAUGGUAGAGGGUGGUGGAAUUUCCUGUGUAGCGGUGAAAUGCGUAGAUAUAGGAAGGAACACCAGUGGCGAAGGCGACCACCUGGACUGAUACUGACACUGAGGUGCGAAAGCGU